GAAAUGCGAUAAGUAAUGUGAAUUGCAGAAUUCCGUGAAUCAUCGAAUCUUUGAACGCACAUUGCGCCCUCUGGUAUUCCGGGGGGCAUGCCUGUCCGAGCGUCAUUGCGAACCCCUCAAGCACGGCUUGUGUGAUGGGCCCUCCCGCGUCUUGGUCGUCAAGACGGGCCCGAAAUGCGGUGGCGGCUUCGCGGUUAUCCGAUCAGCCAGAGCGUAUGGGGACUUUCUCUCUGUCACACGCCCGCGGCGCGGACCGACGCCUGUCGACCUUUAUUCAUCUUUUUCUCGGUUGACCUCGGAUCAGGUAGGGAUACCCGCUGAACUUAAGC
RNAcentral lists this unclassified non-coding RNA (329 nucleotides) under plant metagenome. Its description in RNAcentral is "partial contains 5.8S ribosomal RNA, internal transcribed spacer 2, and large subunit ribosomal RNA". The stretch from base 1 to 105 matches the Rfam family "5.8S ribosomal RNA", at positions 50 to 154 of the family's 154-position model. The record is from RNAcentral.